ACACCACAUGUUUGCACCCCGUGUGACGUCACACAUAUCCCAGCAUUCAAGACUGACCCGGCAAACCCCGGCAAAGAACUUAUUUUAUGAAUGAAAGCUAUUAAGAAAUAAAUCAUACGCGGUUAAAGAGUUCAUGUCAUGUAAUAUUUUGUGAAAUAGCUUUUAUGUUUCAAAUUAUUUUUUUCAGCAGCAAUCGAACUAGUAUAUUUGUUUGAGUAAAUUAUUUGGAUUAUAUCUAUCACAGUAUGUCAACGUUAUGCCUAUUGUUAUUUUGGACUAUAGGGUGUAGUUUAAAAAGUCAUUCACAAUAUGGCGGCGAUUAUGCGGAAAUGAAAUUGAAUGUUACUUCGAAUACGUUCUUCUACAAAAUAACCGACCUGUAUUUAGUGCUAUUGCUUUAACAUCAAUCGAAGCAAAAAUGGCAUUUAUUUAUGUGUUUAAAAAUGUUAAAUUUAGAUGGAGACAAUCCAGAAAUGAGCUGCCAGGAAGCGAUCGAUUUCGGACACGAAGAUUGAGAAGUGCCUGGAUACAAGGCUAGUAUUGUUAACAUCAUCUGAUACAAUCAACUGGAACAAAGCUGAAAUGGCUGCCUGACCUGACUUAAAAAUUGGAUGGCAUUACAUCAGACUAGAAGAUUACAAGUAUUGAGGUGGACAAAAUGAAACCUGAGCCUACCAAAGCUGACAGAUUGCACGAGAAACACAUAAAUGCAGGCAUUUACUGAGAUAUUGUAAUUAUUUUUUGAAACUUCUCAUUCAUUUAGGAAGUUCAGUUGAAACAGAGUUGGCAAAAAAAAGAACAAAGAUUGGAAGAUUCAUUCUCUGGAAAGUAGAAAAAGGCAUGUUACAUACUGUUAUCACUGCCAUGACAGAAACCAUAUUGAGGAGCUGGUCCACCUGUAGGAAGAAUUGCGCUAUUGGUUGGAGCAGCACUAUUUCCCAGCCAUACACCAGCACUUAGUUUGUCAUAGGGAGCAUUUCUGAGCAGUUAUGGAGACCACUAACUAUGCAGUUGUUGCAGUGAAACUUGCACCAGUGUGUUUUCUGUGGAGAUAAAGAGAUAGUGUCCAGCAAUGAAGACCCAACUCAAGAUCUGACCUUGUAAGGCCAAUAUGAAAUAACUGUGUGGGAAAAUGGGAAAAACCUGCAGUCAGGAAUGCACGGAAAUCAUCAAAAGAACAGUGUUAAAUUAAUCUUGAAUAACUUGGCAUUUAUUUUGUUUGACAUAUUUAUUCAUGGUGCAGUGAAAACAUUCUUUUUUUCUCAUGGUUAUUUAAAUUUAGAAUUGAUCGGAGGGAACAUCACUAUGUAAUUUCAUGUUCAUAGUCAGAUCAAAACCCAUGUACAUGCCCAAAUGAGCAUUCGAAAAUAUCAAAAUGGUACUUGUUGUAUGUAGUGUAAGUUAAUUAACAUAAUAAAC
Mya arenaria is the source of this 1419-nucleotide long non-coding RNA. RefSeq lists it as uncharacterized. NCBI's taxonomy places the organism in Eukaryota, Metazoa, Mollusca, Bivalvia, Myida, Myidae. The record is from RefSeq and is a predicted model, not a curated record. The transcript is spliced from 4 exons.